AUAAGUGUAUAGACUUGCAGAAAUAAAGAGAGAGAAGAUACAUCUGAACUGGGGCUUCUUGUCCUCCUUGCCGGUCGAAGGUGACAAGACAAGAUGCCAUUGCCUUGCAUUGGGACCCAGAAGAGCAUGGGAUACACAUAUCCCUCCACAUGUAAAUGUGUGCAUUCUCACAAGUCCAUUUGCAGCAUUUGAUAGCAGGUUUUCAGAAACAGUCUCAGAAACCGUUGUUUUGGGCCUGAUUUUUAUGAAGACAGAUAGGGGCAUAUUUAAAAGUUUUAAGAGCACCCUAUUAUAGUAUAUGAUACUAUUGGAUGAAAAAAAUUCUUAAAAAGAGACCACAAGUAGGUGGAGAGGCAGGCAGAGAAGAGAGGA
This is a long non-coding RNA of Neogale vison (American mink), 372 nucleotides long. RefSeq lists it as uncharacterized. NCBI's taxonomy places the organism in Eukaryota, Metazoa, Chordata, Mammalia, Carnivora, Mustelidae. The transcript has 4 exons. The record is from RefSeq and is a predicted model, not a curated record.